This 275-nucleotide ribosomal RNA is filed under the name uncultured prokaryote. Its description in RNAcentral is "partial 16S ribosomal RNA". It matches the Rfam family "Bacterial small subunit ribosomal RNA", at positions 524 to 798 of the family's 1533-position model. The record is from RNAcentral.
UACGGAGGAUCCGAGCGUUAUCCGGAUUUAUUGGGUUUAAAGGGUGCGCAGGCGGGGGAUUAAGUCGGCGGUGAAAUUUUGCAGCUCAACUGUAAAAGUGCCUUCGAAACUGGUUUCCUUGAGUGUAGAUGAAGUAGGCGGAAUUUGUGGUGUAGCGGUGAAAUGCAUAGAUAUCACGAGGAACUCCGAUUGCGCAGGCAGCUUACUAAACUACUACGGACGCUCAGGCACGAAGGCGUGGGGAUCAAACAGGAUUAGAUACCCUGGUAGUCCCU